UGGGGAAUAUUGGACAAUGGGCGGAAGCCUGAUCCAGCCAUGCCGCGUGUGUGAAGAAGGCCUUUUGGUUGUAAAGCACUUUAAGCGAGGAGGAGGCUACUUGGAUUAAUACUCUAGGAUAGUGGACGUUACUCGCAGAAUAAGCAUCGGCUAACUCUGUGCCAGCAGCCGCGGUAAUACAGAGGGUGCGAGCGUUAAUCGGAUUUACUGGGCGUAAAGCGUGCGUAGGCGGCUUCUUAAGUCGGAUGUGAAAUCCCUGAGCUUAACUUAGGAAUUGCAUUCGAUACUGGGAAGCUAGAGUAUGGGAGAGGAUGGUAGAAUUCCAGGUGUAGCGGUGAAAUGCGUAGAGAUCUGGAGGAAUACCGAUGGCGAAGGCAGCCAUCUGGCCUAAUACUGACGCUGAGGUACGAAAGCAUGGGGAGCAAACAGG
Molecule: ribosomal RNA, 430 nt
Filed under: Acidobacteriota bacterium
Lineage: Bacteria; Pseudomonadati; Acidobacteriota
Description: Acidobacteria bacterium partial 16S ribosomal RNA
Rfam family: Bacterial small subunit ribosomal RNA
Source: RNAcentral